UGUGCACUUACUGUAGGUUGGCGUGGGUUUCUAGCCUCCGGGCUGGGAGCAUUCUGCCGGCCUAUGUACACUACAAACUUCUAAAGUAUCAGAAUGUAAACGCGUCUAACGCAUCUUAAUACAACUUUCAGCAACGGAUCUCUUGGCUCUCGCAUCGAUGAAGAACGCAGCGAAAUGCGAUAAGUAAUGUGAAUUGCAGAAUUCAGUGAAUCAUCGAAUCUUUGAACGCACCUUGCGCUCCUUGGUAUUCCGAGGAGCAUGCCUGUUUGAGUGUCAUGAAAUUCUCAACCCAUAAGUCCUUGUGAUCUAUGGGCUUGGAUUUGGAGGCUUGCUGGCCCUAGCGGUCGGCUCCUUCUUGAAUGCAUUAGCUUGAUUCCGUGCGGAUCGGCUCUCAGUGUGAUAAUUGUCUACGCUGUGACCGUGAAGCGUUUUGGCAAGCUUCUAACCGUCCAUUAGGACAAUCUUUCAACAUCUGACCUCAAAUCAGGUAGGACUACCCGCUGAACUUAAGCAUAUCAAUAAGCGGAGGAAAAGAAACUAACAAGGAUUCCCCUAGUAACUGCGAGUGAAGCGGGAAAAGCUCAAAUUUAAAAUCUGGCGGUCUUUGGCCGUCCGAGUUGUAGUCUGGAGAAGCGUUUUCCGCGUUGGACCGUGUACAAGUCUCUUGGAACAGAGCGUCAUAGAGGGUGAGAAUCCCGUCUUUGACACGGACUACCAAUGCUUUGUGAUGCGCUCUCAAAGAGUCGCGUUGUUUGGGAAUGCAGCGCAAAAUGGGAAGGUGAAUUCCUUCUAAAGCUAAAUAUUGGCGAGAGACCGAUAGCGAACAAGUACCGUGAGGGAAAGAUGAAAAGCACUUUGGAAAGAGAGUUAAACAGUACGUGAAAUUGCUGAAAGGGAAACGCUUGAAGUCAGUCGCGUCGUCCGGAACUCAGCCUUGCUUCGGCUUGGUGCACUUUCCGGAUGACGGGCCAGCAUCGAUUUUGACCGCUGGAAAAGGGCUGGAGGAAUGUGGCACCUUCGGGUGUGUUAUAGCCUUCAGUCGCAUACAGCGGUUGGGAUCGAGGAACGC
Molecule: ribosomal RNA, 1069 nt
Filed under: Trametes sp. Y-H11
Lineage: Eukaryota; Fungi; Basidiomycota; Agaricomycetes; Polyporales; Polyporaceae
Description: eukaryotic LSU rRNA
Rfam family: Eukaryotic large subunit ribosomal RNA (bases 474-1069)
Source: RNAcentral